Molecule: long non-coding RNA, 373 nt
Filed under: Monodelphis domestica (gray short-tailed opossum)
Lineage: Eukaryota; Metazoa; Chordata; Mammalia; Didelphimorphia; Didelphidae
Description: lncRNA (ENSMODG00000031255.2)
Source: RNAcentral
UCUGCUGAAGUCAAGGAGCCCAGCGUGCCUGGGAAAUGUGAAAGGACCAAGACAACUUAGGGGUGGCUGAAGCUGUUGUUCCCCAUGUCCUCUGAGAUGUGGAAUUUAAUUGGAGCUGACAGAUGAACCUACCAUGUCAGGAGACAGCUGCCUUGGGUCUGCCUAGAAGGUCCAGAACUCUAUCCACUGCACCAGCUAUCUGCCCUAGAGAUGGACCAAAGUGGGAGCCGAUUGAUAGUUCCAUCCAGGAACAAUGAAUGGAAAUGAGUGCCACAGAAGCUAUGUGAAUGUCUGAAAAUUUAUAUUAAUUUUGCACAAAAUGAAAAUUAUGUUGAAAAAUAUUUAAAUAAAUCAUAUUAUUAUAUUAUUGACA